UGAGGAGUAAUAUCUAACUGUGUAAUAAUUUUGUUUAUGGUCUUUUUAUGAUUUGUAUGUGUAAUAUUUUAGUUGUGAAUUAUUUUGUACACUUUAAGAGAUGUUAAUCAAAAGAAUGGUAAAUUGUUCAUGUUUUGCCAAAAGUACUUGACUUCAUUAAAGUUACUGAUGCAACAUACAAAAAAUAUUUUAAUCAGUCUACCCAGACAUAACAAAACACAACAACACAAAACUUAGUAAAAUUUGUUAAAACUAAGAGAGAAGACUUCUCAAGAAACCUUAGACAAAUUCACAAAAGAUCAAAAUUGAAUUUUAAGUGAAAGUUGAAAUUUUAAAUCCCACGGAAGUUAAAAAUUGUAUCUUAUGAGGAAGACAACACAAACACAGAACAUCAACUUAAGAAACAAAAUCAUCGGAGAAGACUUCUUAUGACGUCUUCUACAAGUCUUCUAUGAGGAAGACUUACAGAAGACUUCUCCGUUUAGCUAGAAACAUUAUUAAACAUCAAUGUUAGUAACUUCAUAAUCAUCACCAAUUAAGUUAUAAAUUCGACUCAGUAGUCCCAAU
Molecule: long non-coding RNA, 567 nt
Filed under: Brassica napus (rape)
Lineage: Eukaryota; Viridiplantae; Streptophyta; Magnoliopsida; Brassicales; Brassicaceae
Description: long non-coding RNA (BNAP_LNC010134)
Source: RNAcentral